UACGAAGGGGGCUAGCGUUGCUCGGAAUUACUGGGCGUAAAGGGCGCGUAGGCGGUUUCGUUAGUCAGGCGUGAAAUUCCUGGGCUUAACCUGGGGACUGCGCUUGAUACAGCGAGACUUGAGGUCAGAAGAGGGUCGUGGAAUUCCCAGUGUAGAGGUGAAAUUCGUAGAUAUUGGGAAGAACACCGGUGGCGAAGGCGGAUCUCUGGGCCUUACCUGACGCUGAGGCGCGAAAGCUAGGGGAGCGAACAGG
This 253-nucleotide ribosomal RNA is filed under the name uncultured bacterium. RNAcentral describes it as "partial 16S ribosomal RNA". It matches the Rfam family "Bacterial small subunit ribosomal RNA", at positions 524 to 776 of the family's 1533-position model. The record is from RNAcentral.